ACUGCCCCUAGAGGCUUUGCAGGUGUGGCUACUGAGCCACACGUGUGUCCGCGCUGAGAGGAGGAAGGCUACAUCUACGCUAGGUGUUCUGAUCUGUGAAUGUCAGAAUGAUUAGUGCCUGUCUUA
Small nucleolar RNA from Grammomys surdaster, 126 nucleotides. RefSeq annotates it as small nucleolar RNA SNORA17. The record is from RefSeq and is a predicted model, not a curated record. The transcript has a single exon. Lineage: Eukaryota; Metazoa; Chordata; Mammalia; Rodentia; Muridae.